ACAAUGGUGUUUUUAAACACCAAUAUUUUUUUUGAUAUGUUAUUAU
Non-coding RNA from Picea glauca (white spruce), 46 nucleotides. The record is from Rfam. NCBI's taxonomy places the organism in Eukaryota, Viridiplantae, Streptophyta, Pinopsida, Pinales, Pinaceae.